Molecule: ribosomal RNA, 594 nt
Filed under: Triticum aestivum (bread wheat)
Lineage: Eukaryota; Viridiplantae; Streptophyta; Magnoliopsida; Poales; Poaceae
Description: partial small subunit ribosomal RNA
Source: RNAcentral
AUGACUACCUUGGAUACGACCAAAAAUAUUGCAUACGUGCAUAUUUGUCAGGUGAUUUCUAAUGCAAGCUAUUCAAUAAUCUAUUUAUGUUAUCCAGAACAAAAAUACUUCACACACUUUUGUGUUUUGUCUAAUUGCAGGUGUAUGGGACAUUUGUACAAUCCACAUAUGAAGAUAAGGGAAAAGGAGAAGUUUAGGUUGUGUUCAAAAAGUCCUCUCACGUCACUUUUGGGCCAAGAGAAGAUAGAGUCCAAGUCUCUCACGUUCUGGAUUCAGAUUCGGACUGCACAGACAUACCUGACUCAAAACGCCAACAACUUUUUCAUACGGACUCCGAAUUGGGUGAUUUUUUUGUUGGAAACUAGAUUUUGUGCUCUUUCCAACCCAAUUGGAUUCACCUUCAAAUUCGUCUGGAGCGUUGAGUUACGGAUGAAACAAUCUGACGUUGCAGCAGAAUCCGAGUCAAACUACAAACCCAAAGGUGUUGCAUCACCUCCACUUGGGCCCAUGAGCCUUGUACAACCUAGGGUUAGUUUUAGGCUGCCUUGGGACGUCCUCCCACCUCCUUGGCCGCCACCCCUUGCUCCUAUAUAA